This is a long non-coding RNA of Hyposmocoma kahamanoa, 233 nucleotides long. RefSeq lists it as uncharacterized. The record is from RefSeq and is a predicted model, not a curated record. NCBI's taxonomy places the organism in Eukaryota, Metazoa, Arthropoda, Insecta, Lepidoptera, Cosmopterigidae. The transcript has 3 exons.
ACCCGAUAUGGUCAUGUGCGGCGAUCACUCGUCAUUCACGAAGACCGAGCUAAACAUGAAGGAGAAGCCCGACGAGGACAAAAGGCCCGCUCUGCAGGGCAGAAUAUCGCCCACGCGCUGGGCAGCUUCCGCUGGCCGCCCUACCUGCUGGCCGUGUGGGUGCUGGUGCUGGUGCUCACGCACGCGCUGCACUGCCUGGUCUCCGUGCUGGACCGCGCGCUGCCCAACCUCAA